This 1085-nucleotide ribosomal RNA is filed under the name Pediococcus acidilactici. RNAcentral's name for it is "bacterial SSU rRNA". It matches the Rfam family "Bacterial small subunit ribosomal RNA", at positions 362 to 1440 of the family's 1533-position model. Lineage: Bacteria; Bacillati; Bacillota; Bacilli; Lactobacillales; Lactobacillaceae. The record is from RNAcentral.
UCUUCCACAAUGGACGCAAGUCUGAUGGAGCAACGCCGCGUGAGUGAAGAAGGGUUUCGGCUCGUAAAGCUCUGUUGUUAAAGAAGAACGUGGGUGAGAGUAACUGUUCACCCAGUGACGGUAUUUAACCAGAAAGCCACGGCUAACUACGUGCCAGCAGCCGCGGUAAUACGUAGGUGGCAAGCGUUAUCCGGAUUUAUUGGGCGUAAAGCGAGCGCAGGCGGUCUUUUAAGUCUAAUGUGAAAGCCUUCGGCUCAACCGAAGAAGUGCAUUGGAAACUGGGAGACUUGAGUGCAGAAGAGGACAGUGGAACUCCAUGUGUAGCGGUGAAAUGCGUAGAUAUAUGGAAGAACACCAGUGGCGAAGGCGGCUGUCUGGUCUGUAACUGACGCUGAGGCUCGAAAGCAUGGGUAGCGAACAGGAUUAGAUACCCUGGUAGUCCAUGCCGUAAACGAUGAUUACUAAGUGUUGGAGGGUUUCCGCCCUUCAGUGCUGCAGCUAACGCAUUAAGUAAUCCGCCUGGGGAGUACGACCGCAAGGUUGAAACUCAAAAGAAUUGACGGGGGCCCGCACAAGCGGUGGAGCAUGUGGUUUAAUUCGAAGCUACGCGAAGAACCUUACCAGGUCUUGACAUCUUCUGCCAACCUAAGAGAUUAGGCGUUCCCUUCGGGGACAGAAUGACAGGUGGUGCAUGGUUGUCGUCAGCUCGUGUCGUGAGAUGUUGGGUUAAGUCCCGCAACGAGCGCAACCCUUAUUACUAGUUGCCAGCAUUCAGUUGGGCACUCUAGUGAGACUGCCGGUGACAAACCGGAGGAAGGUGGGGACGACGUCAAAUCAUCAUGCCCCUUAUGACCUGGGCUACACACGUGCUACAAUGGAUGGUACAACGAGUCGCGAAACCGCGAGGUUUAGCUAAUCUCUUAAAACCAUUCUCAGUUCGGACUGUAGGCUGCAACUCGCCUACACGAAGUCGGAAUCGCUAGUAAUCGCGGAUCAGCAUGCCGCGGUGAAUACGUUCCCGGGCCUUGUACACACCGCCCGUCACACCAUGAGAGUUUGUAACACCCAAAGCCGGUGGGGUAACC